CAGUCGCCGCGGUAAUACGAGGGGUGCAAGCGUUAUUCGGAUUGAUUGGGCGUAAAGGGAGCGCAGGCGGUUUAGUAAGUCUGAAGUUAAAGGCAUUGGCUCAACCAAUGUAUGCUUUGGAAACUGUUAGACUUGAGUGCAGAAGGGGAGAGUGGAAUUCCAUGUGUAGCGGUGAAAUGCGUAGAUAUAUGGAGGAACACCGGUGGCGAAAGCGGCUCUCUGGUCUGUCACUGACGCUGAGGCUCGAAAGCGUGGGUAGCGAACAGGAUUAGAUACCCCAGUAGUCCCUGUCUCUUAUACC
This 301-nucleotide ribosomal RNA is filed under the name uncultured bacterium. RNAcentral's name for it is "partial 16S ribosomal RNA". It matches the Rfam family "Bacterial small subunit ribosomal RNA", at positions 509 to 808 of the family's 1533-position model. The record is from RNAcentral.